CAUGCAAGUCGAGCGGUAACAGGUGUAGCAAUACAUGCUGACGAGCGGCGGACGGGUGAGUAACGCUUGGGAAUCUGCCUAUCAGUGGGGGACAACCCGGGGAAACUCGGGCUAAUACCGCAUACGAUCUAAGGAUGAAAGCCGGGGACCGCAAGGCCUGGCGCUGAUAGAUGAGCCCAAGUCGGAUUAGCUAGUUGGUAGGGUAACGGCCUACCAAGGCGACGAUCCGUAACUGGUCUGAGAGGACGACCAGUCACACCGGAACUGAGACACGGUCCGGACUCCUACGGGAGGCAGCAGUGGGGAAUAUUGGACAAUGGGGGCAACCCUGAUCCAGCGACGCCGCGUGGGUGAAGAAGGCCUGCGGGUUGUAAAGCCCUUUCGGUGGGGAAGAAAAGUCUCGGCCUAAUACGCUGGGACCCUGACGUAACCCACUAAAGAAGCACCGGCUAACUCUGUGCCAGCAGCCGCGGUAAUACAGAGGGUGCGAGCGUUAAUCGGAAUUACUGGGCGUAAAGCGCGCGUAGGCGGCUUUGUAAGUCGGGAUGUGAAAUCCCCGGGCUCAACCUGGGAACUGCAUUCGAGACUGCAUGGCUAGAGUAUGGGAGAGGGAAGUGGAAUUUCAGGUGUAGCGGUGAAAUGCGUAGAUAUCUGAAGAACAUCAGUGGCGAAAGCGACUUCCUGGACCANUACUGACGCUCA
This 702-nucleotide ribosomal RNA is filed under the name uncultured bacterium. RNAcentral's name for it is "bacterial SSU rRNA". It matches the Rfam family "Bacterial small subunit ribosomal RNA", at positions 54 to 749 of the family's 1533-position model. The record is from RNAcentral.